AUUGAACGCUGGCGGCAUGCCUAACACAUGCAAGUCGAACGGCAGCACGGACUAGUUUACUAGUUGGGUGGCGAGUGGCGAACGGGUGAGUAACGCGUAGGAAUAUACCUUAAAGACUGGGACAACCUGGGGAAACUCAGGCUAAUACCGGAUAAGCUCCGAGGAGGAAAGCUGGGGACCGCAAGGCCUGGCGCUUUAAGAAUAGCCUGCGUGCGAUUAGCUAGUUGGUAGGGUAAAUGCCUACCAAGGCGACGAUCGGUAGCUGGUCUGAGAGGAUAGACCGCCAAACUGGGACAGAGACACGGCCCAGGAUCCUGCGGGAGGCAGGAGUGGGGAAUAUUGGACAAUGGGGGCAACCCUGAUCCAGCAAUGCCGCGUGUGUGAAGAAGGCCUGAGGGUUGUAAAGCACUUUCGGUGGGGAGGAGGUUGCUUAGGUUAAGAGCUAGAGUGAUGGACGUUACCCGCAUAAGAAGCACCGGCUAACUCCGUGCCAGCCGCCGCCGUAA
Molecule: ribosomal RNA, 506 nt
Filed under: uncultured bacterium
Lineage: Bacteria
Description: partial 16S ribosomal RNA
Rfam family: Bacterial small subunit ribosomal RNA
Source: RNAcentral